Molecule: ribosomal RNA, 497 nt
Filed under: uncultured bacterium
Lineage: Bacteria
Description: partial 16S ribosomal RNA
Rfam family: Bacterial small subunit ribosomal RNA
Source: RNAcentral
GAUGAACGCUGGCGGCGUGCCUAAUACAUGCAAGCCGAGCGAACGGACGAGAAGCUUGCUUCUCUGAUGUUAGCGGCGGACGGGUGAGUAACACGUGGAUAACCUACCUAUAAGACUGGGAUAACUUCGGGAAACCGGAGCUAAUACCGGAUAAUAUUUUGAACCGCAUGGUUCAAAAGUGAAAGACGGUCUUGCUGUCACUUAUAGAUGGAUCCGCGCUGCAUUAGCUAGUUGGUAAGGUAACGGCUUACCAAGGCAACGAUGCAUAGCCGACCUGAGAGGGUGAUAGGCCACACUGGAACUGAGACACGGUCCAGACUCCUACGGGAGGCAGCAGUAGGGAAUCUUCCGCAAUGGGCGAAAGCCUGACGGAGCAACGCCGCGUGAGUGAUGAAGGUCUUCGGAUCGUAAAACUCUGUUAUUAGGGAAGAACAUAUGUGUAAGUAACUGUGCACAUCUUGACGGUACCUAAUCAGAAAGCCACGGCUAACUACGUG